This 425-nucleotide ribosomal RNA is filed under the name uncultured bacterium. Its description in RNAcentral is "partial 16S ribosomal RNA". It matches the Rfam family "Bacterial small subunit ribosomal RNA", at positions 354 to 796 of the family's 1533-position model. The record is from RNAcentral.
GUGGGGAAUCUUGCGCAAUGGGCGAAAGCCUGACGCAGCCAUGCCGCGUGAAUGAUGAAGGUCUUAGGAUUGUAAAAUUCUUUCACCGGGGACGAUAAUGACGGUACCCGGAGAAGAAGCUCCGGCUAACUUCGUGCCAGCAGCCGCGGUAAUACGAAGGGGGCUAGCGUUGCUCGGAAUUACUGGGCGUAAAGGGCGCGUAGGCGGAUCGUUAAGUCAGGGGUGAAAUCCCAGAGCUCAACUCUGGAACUGCCCUUGAUACUGGCGAUCUUGAGUGUGAGAGAGGUAUGUGGAACUCCGAGUGUAGAGGUGAAAUUCGUAGAUAUUCGGAAGAACACCAGUGGCGAAGGCGACUCACUGGCCCAAUACUGACGCUGAGGCGCGAAAGCGUGGGGAGCAAACAGGAUUAGAAACCCUGGUAGUCC